UACUAUGGAUAUGGGAACAACGGUGCCCGUAUGGGUUGGGGUAUGGGGUGACCGACUGGUUAUGGCACUCAUAUGAGUUGGGUUAUGAGAAUAGCCGGUGUUUGUGGUGCCCAUAUGGGUUGAGGUGUGAGGAGGCUGAUAAUAGUGGUGCUUAUAUGAGUUGGGGUAUAAGUACAACCAACGAUUUAUCAUUGAUUAUGAAAAUAUUUGAGUAUCCACAAGUAGAGAGGAUCAUUAAUGUGUUAAAUAGUAUCAGUUAAAGAGGCAUUAUGUGAUAAAAACUAAAGAUAUUUGUGGCCCUG
RNAcentral lists this long non-coding RNA (302 nucleotides) under Carica papaya (papaya). RNAcentral's name for it is "long non-coding RNA (CPAP_LNC010447)". Lineage: Eukaryota; Viridiplantae; Streptophyta; Magnoliopsida; Brassicales; Caricaceae. The record is from RNAcentral.